Molecule: ribosomal RNA, 1399 nt
Filed under: uncultured bacterium
Lineage: Bacteria
Description: bacterial SSU rRNA
Rfam family: Bacterial small subunit ribosomal RNA
Source: RNAcentral
AGGGUUUGAUCAUGGCUCAGAAACGUACGCUGGCGGCACGCCUAAUACAUGCAAGUCGAACGAAGUAGCAAUACUUAGUGGCAGACGGGUGAGUAACAUGUAGGUAUCUUCCCUUUGGUGAGGAAUAACACGAGGAAACUUGUGCUAAUACCUCAUAAGUCUUUACGGAGAAAGCUUUAUGCGCCAUUGGAUGAGCCUGCACUUGAUUAGUUUGUUGGUAGGGUAAUGGCCUACCAAGACAAUGAUCAAUAGCUGAUUUGAGAGGAUGAUCAGCCACAUUGGGACUGAGACACGGCCCAAACUCCUACGGGAGGCAGCAGUAGGGAAUCUUGCACAAUGGGGGAAACCCUGAUGCAGCGAUGCCGCGUGAGUGAAGAAGGCCCUUGGGUUGUAAAGCUCUUUCGUCGGGGAAGAAAAUGACUGUACCCGAAUAAGAAGGUCCGGCUAACUUCGUGCCAGCAGCCGCGGUAAUACGAAGGGACCUAGCGUAGUUCGGAAUUACUGGGCUUAAAGAGUUCGUAGGUGGUUAAAAAAGUUGGUGGUGAAAUCCCAGAGCUUAACUCUGGAACUGCCAUCAAAACUUUUUAGCUAGAGUAUGAUAGAGGAAAGCAGAAUUUCUAGUGUAGAGGUGAAAUUCGUAGAUAUUAGAAAGAAUACCAAUUGCGAAGGCAGCUUUCUGGAUCAUUACUGACACUGAGGAACGAAAGCAUGGGUAGCGAAGAGGAUUAGAUACCCUCGUAGUCCAUGCCGUAAACGAUGUGUGUUAGACGUUGGAAAUUUAUUUUCAGUGUCGCAGCGAAAGCAAUAAACACACCGCCUGGGGAGUACGACCGCAAGGUUAAAACUCAAAUGAAUUGACGGGGACCCGCACAAGUAGUGGAGCAUGUGGUUUAAUUCGAAGAUACGCGCAGAACCUUACCAACACUUGACAUGUUCGUCGCGACUUUAAGAGAUUAAAGUUUUCGGUUCGGCCGGACGAAACACAGGUGCUGCAUGGCUGUCGUCAGCUCGUGUCGUGAGAUGUUGGGUUAAGUCCCGCAACGAGCGCAACCCUCACUUUUAGUUGCCAUCAUUUAGUUGGGCACUCUGAAAGAACUGCCAGUGAUAAGCUGGAGGAAGGUGGGGAUGACGUCAAGUCCUCAUGGCCCUUACGUGUUGGGCUACACACGUGCUACAAUGGCAUUUACAAUAGGAAGCAAGACGGCGACGUUUAGCAAAUCCUAAAAAAAUGCCUCAGUUCGGAUUGUACUCUGCAACUCGAGUACAUGAAGCUGGAAUUACUAGUAAUCGCGGAUCAGCGCGCCGCGGUGAAUACGUUCCCGGGUCUUGUACACACCGCCCGUCACACCAUGGGAGUUGGUUCUACCUUAAGGCAAAGGUUAAAAACUUUGACCACGGU